This is an RNA transcript of Fukomys damarensis (Damara mole-rat), 3254 nucleotides long. It is a transcript of the gene named ankyrin repeat and sterile alpha motif domain containing 4B, with no coding region annotated. The record is from RefSeq and is a predicted model, not a curated record. The transcript is spliced from 3 exons. Lineage: Eukaryota; Metazoa; Chordata; Mammalia; Rodentia; Bathyergidae.
UGCUUUCCCAGGAGAGAGGCUGGCUUGAGCUUUGCCCUGGAGUGACGUUCCUUGUCACUGAUUAACCAGCUCCCUAGGAAGUUAGCUCUGCCACCCUUCUGCUCUGCCUGGAGAAAGCCAUCCCAUCAAGCUUUGGUGAGUCGAAAAAAUGUCCACUCGCUACCACCAAGCUGCUAGUGAUAGCUACCUGGAACUUCUGAAAGAAGCUACCACACGAGACCUGAAUCUUUCUGAUGAAGAUGGCAUGACACCCACUCUCCUGGCAGCCUACCACGGCAACCUGCAAGCCCUGGAAAUAAUCUGCAGCAGAGGAGGGGACCCCGACAGAUGUGACAUCUGGGGGAACACUCCUCUCCAUUACGCUGCCUCCAAUGGCCAUGCCCACUGUGUCUCAUUCCUGAUCAUUUUCGGUGCCAACAUCUUUGCCCUGGAUAAUAACUUACAGUCUCCACUGGAUGCUGCUGCCAGCAGGGAGCAGGGCGAAUGUGUUGCCCUCCUGGAUAAGGCUGCCACCACCCAGAAUGCUGUAAAUCCCAAAAAGGUCAUCAGGCUGAAGGAUCAAGCUCAGAAGAAUGCCAGGAGGCAAAUCAAAGAAUGUGAAAAGCUCCAGGAGAAACAUCAAAAUAAGAUGGCCCAUGCCUACAGCAAGGAGGAAUCUGGGACUUUUUCUUCUUUCAAGAGCUCGUCCUCCAGGUCCUCCUUCUCACGUGCUCCUGCUUCCAGUACAUUUGGAUCACUCUCUAAGGGCAUUAAAGACACCUUCAAGUUGAAGUUCAAGAAAAACAAAGAUACAGCAGAGGAGAUGGGGAAGGAAAGCAGAAGUGGGCAGAGGAAUGUGAUGGAAGUGUUCAGAGAGGAGGAAGAAGACUCGUUAGCGGGGAACUUCACAAAGAAGCUCACAUUCUCAGCAGACGAGGACCAAGAUACACAGCAUGAAUCCGUUCUCAACCGUCCAGGUCUUGGAAAUAUUGUUUUUAUGAGAAACCGAAUGUUGAGCUCCGAAGACCUCUCAAACAGCAAGAGCGGGUCAGGAUUUCAAAUGCCCAGGGAAUUUCUCCAAAGACAAGGAACAGCAGAGGCUGAUGAAGCUGAGGCUGAAGAAGGGGAGGAAAAUGGCCUUGUAGGUGAUCUGCCUUGGGAUGAGGAUGAAGUUGAGUGGGAGGAAGAGGAGGCUGAUGCAGCUCCCCUGGAAGUGUUCUUGCAGUCCCUGCACCUGGGAGAAUUCCUUCCCCUUCUGGUGAGAGAGCAGAUUGAUCUGGAAGCUCUGUUGCUUUGCUCUGAUGAGGACCUUCAGAACAUACACAUGCAGCUGGGUCCCAGGAAGAAAGUCCUCGACGCCAUAAACAGAAGGAAGCAGGUGUUGCGGCAGCCUGGGCAGCUGGUGGACACCAGCCUCUGAAGGGCUGUGCUGCGUCACCAGGAUGAGCCUGCAUCCCCAAGAGAUGCUGUGGCGAGGGGAGGCCCCGCAGGCCUCACCCCUUACCUGCCCAGUUCUGCACCACUGGGAGCCCAUUCUAGGGUUUUGGAGAAGCCCAUCUGGGAAGGAGGCCCAGACUACUCUGGGAAAUACGUAGACCUAUCUGAAUAAACUAUCAGUGAGAAACUCCAGGGUACUGUGGAAUAAGACUAUGGCAUUUCUUUUCAAUUUUCAUCUUUAUAUUUUUGAAUAAAGAAAAGGUUAAAUGGAUGACAGAAAAGGGAAAGAAAUUUUCUUUUUUGUCUGGGCAUAGAAUGAUAAUUUCUCAUCACACUAGCCUAGUUUUUAAUCCACACAGCCCGGGGAUUCUAAGUCUGGUUCUGUCCUUAGCUCUAUAACUUAGCUUGUCAUUGGACAUCGAAGUCCUUCAUUGGCCUGAGGCUCGAUGACCAACUUAAAUGCAUCUAACCCUUAAACAGAUGCCUACAUGUUUAAAAGAGGGUGAAGAAAGAAAGAAGAGUGUACCUUUGGUAGAUUGAAUCGUGUCCCUCUUAAAAUUCAUACGUUGGGCCCUUACCACCUGAACUGUUUUUGAAGAUAGGUGACUAAAGCUUACCUGGUGUCCUAAUGUUGGCAUCCUACUCCUCUAUGAUGUUGUCCUUAUAAGAAAAGAAAAAUAUACAAAAGAUGUGAUCACACACAGAGAAAAGAUUGUAUAAGGACACAGCAAGUGGGUUCUGUCUACAAGCCAAGGAAAGAUCUCAGGAGAAAUCAAAUGUGCCAACAUCUUGAUUUUGGGCUUUCAACUGCCAGAGUUCGAUGUAAAAGUCAUCAAUCAAGGCAAGGUGACAGGAACAUUUCACUGAAGAGAACAUGCAGGUGAGUAAAUGCAUAUGGUGCUUCUAUUUCAGGCCAGCAUGUAAGUACCAGUCAGUUAUGUGCUCAUAAUCCUGAGUCACAGGUAAAUCCAAAGCCCAAGUCUUAUCUGACAUCUCCUCAAACGUUCCACACACACACAUCAAACUCAGGGUGCCCAGAAUUGAACACAUUUUCUUCCCAAAUCAAGUUCUUAACAUGAAUAGUUUUUUCCCUUACACACCUGGCAAGGUCAAAAGACAUUUUUGAUUGUGGUGAGUUGGGCAGGAGAGCUUCUGAAGUCAGGUGAAUAGAAACGAUGGAUGUUCGGUGUUGUACAGUGUAUAAGGCAGCCCUCUGUGAUGGUGAAUCCUCCAGACCGAAUGUUGAUAGUCCUGAGGUUGAGCACCACCUAUCCAGGUACCGGGGAUCAAACUUGGGACCUUGUGCUUUCGAGGCAGGCGGCAGAAUCGCUGAGCUAAAUCCCCAGCCCUAAACUCUUCAUUUUUGAUGAAUGCCAAGCUCAACCCAAAACGUCUCCUUUUUCUUGCCUUCAUCACCCAACUGGUCACUUAAGUCCCUUCAACUCUUUAAUAUGUCAUAAACCUAAAUUCUCUUCUAUGUCUGCAAGACCCUCAUUUAUUUUGUGCCCCCCUCUUUGCUCACCUGUGUUCAGAGGAUCCUGUCUAUCUCUAAUUUGUUCUCUGCAGUGCUUGUUGAGUGAUCUUUCUAAUAGGCAAACCCUCUCAUGCCACUUUCGCCUCCCCAUUGAUUUUCAGGCCUUCAUCAUCCCAUAUAAAAUUCUUGUAAGAGAACUAUUCUCUCCUCUAAGCUGUUGGUUUUGUUUCUAACCAUUCCUCUUUGUCCCCUAAUCAUAACCACAUCAGUUUUUUUAUAGCUUCCAGAAUAUAUCAUGCCCUUCUUUUGCCUGUGUCUUUGUUCAUGACCAUCCCUCUGCUUGGAAAACUUUCUGCAUGCAGCC